This 492-nucleotide ribosomal RNA is filed under the name uncultured bacterium. Its description in RNAcentral is "partial 16S ribosomal RNA". It matches the Rfam family "Bacterial small subunit ribosomal RNA", at positions 29 to 507 of the family's 1533-position model. The record is from RNAcentral.
AGUGAACGCUGGCGGUAGGCCUAACACAUGCAAGUCGAACGGCAGCACAGUAAGAGCUUGCUCUUACGGGUGGCGAGUGGCGGACGGGUGAGGAAUACAUCGGAAUCUACUUUUUCGUGGGGGAUAACGUAGGGAAACUUACGCUAAUACCGCAUACGACCUACGGGUGAAAGCAGGGGAUCUUCGGACCUUGCGCGAUUGAAUGAGCCGAUGUCGGAUUAGCUAGUUGGCGGGGUAAAGGCCCACCAAGGCGACGAUCCGUAGCUGGUCUGAGAGGAUGAUCAGGCACCCUUGAACUGAGACACGGUCCAGACUCCUACGGGAGGCAGCAGUGGGGAAUAUUGGACAAAGGGCGCAAGCCUGAUCCAGCCAUACCGCGUGGGUGAAGAAGGCCUUCGGGUUGUAAAGCCCUUUUGUUGGGAAAGAAAAGCAGCAGGUUAAUACCCCGCUGUUCUGACGGUACCCAAAGAAUAAGCACCGGCUAACUUCGUG